UGCGCAGNCCUANCAUGCAAGUCGAGCGGUAACAGAAAGUAGCUUGCUACUUUGCUGACGAGCGGCGGACGGGUGAGUAAUGCUUGGGAACAUGCCUUGAGGUGGGGGACAACAGUUGGAAACGACUGCUAAUACCGCAUAAUGUCUACGGACCAAAGGGGGCUUCNGCUCUCGCCUUUAGAUUGGCCCAAGUGGGAUUAGCUAGUUGGUGAGGUAAUGGCUCACCAAGGCGACGAUCCCUAGCUGGUUUGAGAGGAUGAUCAGCCACACUGGGACUGAGACACGGCCCAGACUCCUACNGGAGGCAGCANUGGGGAAUAUUGCACAAUGGGCGCAAGCCUGAUGCAGCCAUGCCGCGUGUGUGAAGAANGCCUUCNGGUUGUAAAGC
RNAcentral lists this ribosomal RNA (388 nucleotides) under Pseudoalteromonas sp. Its description in RNAcentral is "bacterial SSU rRNA". It matches the Rfam family "Bacterial small subunit ribosomal RNA", at positions 39 to 431 of the family's 1533-position model. Lineage: Bacteria; Pseudomonadati; Pseudomonadota; Gammaproteobacteria; Alteromonadales; Pseudoalteromonadaceae. The record is from RNAcentral.